ACUUGCAAGACUUAAAGAAACCUUUGCUACUGAAAAAUGACGAGGUAGUUAACUACAUAUUGGUCCAUAAGGAGUUAUUGGUUCCACCUAUAGUCCAUUGAAAGAUCAACAAUAAAGAAGGCACUAUUUUGUCUUUUAAGGACCAGGCUUCCAGAAGUUGUCAGCAUGUGACAGUGGCCACAUCCCAUGAACAGCUUUGCCUGGCCUUCUGAACCAGAUCCUUUCAAUCGAACGCUGUAGAAUUUUUAUUGGAAUAAUGGCUCACUUAACACGAGGUA
Molecule: long non-coding RNA, 278 nt
Organism: Podarcis raffonei (Aeolian wall lizard)
Lineage: Eukaryota; Metazoa; Chordata; Lepidosauria; Squamata; Lacertidae
Exons: 3
Source: RefSeq, a predicted model, not a curated record